RNAcentral lists this ribosomal RNA (465 nucleotides) under uncultured bacterium. RNAcentral describes it as "partial 16S ribosomal RNA". It matches the Rfam family "Bacterial small subunit ribosomal RNA", at positions 338 to 795 of the family's 1533-position model. The record is from RNAcentral.
CCUACGGGAGGCAGCAGUAGGGAAUCUUCCACAAUGGGCGAAAGCCUGAUGGAGCAACGCCGCGUGGGUGAAGAAGGUCUUCGGAUCGUAAAACCCUGUUGUUAGAGAAGAAAGUUCGUGAGAGUAACUGUUCACGUUUCGACGGUAUCUAACCAGAAAGCCACGGCUAACUACGUGCCAGCAGCCGCGGUAAUACGUAGGUGGCAAGCGUUAUCCGGAUUUAUUGGGCGUAAAGGGAACGCAGGCGGUCUUUUAAGUCUGAUGUGAAAGCCUUCGGCUUAACCGGAGUAGUGCAUUGGAAACUGGGAGACUGGAGUGCAGAAGAGGAGAGUGGAACUCCAUGUGUAGCGGUGAAAUGCGUAGAUAUAUGGAAGAACACCAGUGGCGAAAGCGGCUCUCUGGUCUGUAACUGACGCUGAGGUUCGAAAGCGUGGGUAGCAAACAGGAUUAGAUACCCCAGUAGUC